This 320-nucleotide ribosomal RNA is filed under the name Weissella paramesenteroides. Its description in RNAcentral is "partial 16S ribosomal RNA". It matches the Rfam family "Bacterial small subunit ribosomal RNA", at positions 65 to 349 of the family's 1533-position model. Lineage: Bacteria; Bacillati; Bacillota; Bacilli; Lactobacillales; Lactobacillaceae. The record is from RNAcentral.
AACGCUUUGUCUUUAAYUGAUMUGAMGAGCUUGCUCUGAUKUGAUUUUAUCUGACAAAGAGUGGCGAACGGGUGAGUAACACGUGGGUAACCUACCUCUUAGCAGGGGAUAACAUUUGGAAACAAGUGCUAAUACCGUAUAAUACCAACAACCGCAUGGUUKUKGGUUGAAAGAUGGUUCUGCUAUCACUAAGAGAUGGACCCGCGGUGCAUUAGCUAGUUGGUAAGGUAACGGCUUACCAAGGCRAUGAUGCAUASCCGAGUUGAGAGACUGAUCGGCCACAAUGGGACUGAGACACGGCCCAUACUCCUACGGGAGGC